This 666-nucleotide ribosomal RNA is filed under the name uncultured Lachnospiraceae bacterium. RNAcentral describes it as "bacterial SSU rRNA". It matches the Rfam family "Bacterial small subunit ribosomal RNA", at positions 89 to 772 of the family's 1533-position model. Lineage: Bacteria; Bacillati; Bacillota; Clostridia; Lachnospirales; Lachnospiraceae. The record is from RNAcentral.
AGCUUAGUGGCGGACGGGUGAGUAACACGUGAGCAACCUGCCUUUCAGAGGGGGAUAACAGCCGGAAACGGCUGCUAAUACCGCAUGAUGUUGCGGGGGCACAUGCCCCUGCAACCAAAGGAGCAAUCCGCUGAAAGAUGGGCUCGCGUCCGAUUAGCCAGUUGGCGGGGUAACGGCCCACCAAAGCGACGAUCGGUAGCCGGACUGAGAGGUUGAACGGCCACAUUGGGACUGAGACACGGCCCAGACUCCUACGGGAGGCAGCAGUGGGGGAUAUUGCACAAUGGGCGAAAGCCUGAUGCAGCGACGCCGCGUGAGGGAAGACGGUCUUCGGAUUGUAAACCUCUGUCUUUGGGGAAGAAAAUGACGGUACCCAAAGAGGAAGCUCCGGCUAACUACGUGCCAGCAGCCGCGGUAAUACGUAGGGAGCAAGCGUUGUCCGGAAUUACUGGGUGUAAAGGGAGCGUAGGCGGGAUGGCAAGUAGAAUGUUAAAUCCAUCGGCUCAACCGGUGGCUGCGUUCUAAACUGCCGUUCUUGAGUGAAGUAGAGGCAGGCGGAAUUCCUAGUGUAGCGGUGAAAUGCGUAGAUAUUAGGAGGAACACCAGUGGCGAAGGCGGCCUGCUGGGCUUUAACUGACGCUGAGGCUCGAAAGCGUGGGGAGCAAA